AUUUUAAACUUCAAAUCUCUCCCUAUAGGUUAGCUCUUUCUUAUUUCAGUAUUCUCUGCUUUAAGGUGUAUAUCAUCCUAUUUUAUUUUUCUCUUUUCGUCAGAACCUCUAUUAAUUCUCCAUUAAAUUAUAUAGAAAAAACUUCAAAUCCUGCCUGCCGUGGCUUAUCGAAUAUUUACUUUAGUACUACGUGGUUUGCCAAAUUUUUAUUUUAGUAUAUUGUGAUUUUAAUUUUUUCACUGGAUAUUAAAAUGAUAUACUUUAAACCACCAGAUAUUAAAAUAUAUUUUUUUGGUGUUUCAACAAUAUUG
This 311-nucleotide long non-coding RNA is filed under the name Ananas comosus (pineapple). RNAcentral describes it as "long non-coding RNA (ACOM_LNC040329)". Lineage: Eukaryota; Viridiplantae; Streptophyta; Magnoliopsida; Poales; Bromeliaceae. The record is from RNAcentral.